Molecule: ribosomal RNA, 327 nt
Filed under: uncultured eukaryote
Lineage: Eukaryota
Description: partial 18S ribosomal RNA
Rfam family: Eukaryotic small subunit ribosomal RNA
Source: RNAcentral
CCCUUAGAUGUUCUGGGCCGCACGCGCGCUACACUGACGAAUGCAACGAGCUUAUAACCUUGGCCGAAAGGUCUGGGUAAUCUCCAAAUUUCGUCGUGAUGGGGAUAGAUUAUUGCAAUUAUUAAUCUUCAACGAGGAAUGCCUAGUAAGCGCAAGUCAUCAGCUUGCGUUGAUUACGUCCCUGCCCUUUGUAUACAUCGUCCGUCGCUCCUACCGAUUGAAUGGUCCGGUGAAGCGUUCGGACCGUGGCCUUUGGACGGUUCGCCGUCUGUUGGCUGCGGGAAGUUCGUUAAACCUUAUCAUUUAGAGGAAGGAGAAGUCGUAACA